This 165-nucleotide ribosomal RNA is filed under the name Clinus superciliosus (super klipfish). RNAcentral describes it as "partial small subunit ribosomal RNA". Lineage: Eukaryota; Metazoa; Chordata; Actinopteri; Blenniiformes; Clinidae. The record is from RNAcentral.
ACCGCGGUUAUACGAGAGGCCCAAGUUGACCGCACUCGGCGUAAAGAGUGGUUAGAAGAACAUAAACUAAAGCCGAAUACUCUCCUAAUUGUUAUACAUACUCGGGAGUAAGAAGCCCACCUACGAAAGUGGCUUUAUCAACCUCGACCCCACGAAAGCUGUGGC